Molecule: long non-coding RNA, 2481 nt
Organism: Pseudopipra pipra
Lineage: Eukaryota; Metazoa; Chordata; Aves; Passeriformes; Pipridae
Exons: 4
Source: RefSeq, a predicted model, not a curated record
UCCCCCUUGGAGAUGACCCCUCUGAUCUUGACCAAGAAGCAUUGUGAGACACUGGAUUAUUGUAUUAAUUAUUGGCUUGGACCAACUCGUGGGGGGGGGGCAGGGAAUGGGACAGGUCAAAUUUCAUGAAGGUGAGGUGAUGCCCUACCCCAUACCCCAGCCCCUGUGAGCCUCAUUGGGAGACCCUGGAGAAGCUGUCAGUCAAGACCAGCCUGGGGGUGCUGCCCCGUUCCACACCUCAGAGACCUUAACCCAGUAUGGUAUAAACUGGAGUAUUAUCAGAUUAAUGAUCCACAGGAGAGAGCCUCUUAUUUAUGAUUGAUGCAAACUACGUAAAGUUCUUGCAAAUGUUGAUCUGCAGUCAGAAGCUGUGAAUUAAAAAAAAUCACGGUGAAACAUGUCACUGUCUAUCUAUCAGAUAUUUUCCGGAAACAGUUACUAGAAACUCUGUUAACUGACAUUUCCUUACUCUCUUGAUGAUAGACUUUAAAACUGGAUCUCGGGCUAAUUUUAAGCAGAGGGUAAGAUGCAAAAAAAAUUUCUGGACAUUUUUUAUUAGUAUCUUGCUGUGUGACUUUUAGUUAAGAAAUAUACUUCCUGGUGGGUCUAGUGCCUAUUGGUGUCAGUAGAGGAACUAUGAUCCACUACACUAUAUUUUUAAUAUAACUUCAGCUCAUAAUAUCUCUGUGUGCAUAAAAUAGGUUUAACAUUUACCGCUUUACUAUGCUCAUCGAUUGCUGUUGUCUCGCAGAUACUGAGGCAUACACUUGGACAUAAGGAUGCAGAAUUGCAAAGUAUUACUGUGGGAACUGGAUUUCUUAAUGAAAGCUUAUUGCUGUAUGGAGCUCAGCAAUUUUCACCUCUGAGAAUCAUGAUCUUCUUAAAGAGAUGUUUUUCAAGCCCUUGAAUCUACUGCCAUGAUUCAUGCAAACUUAAGAGGUCAGAGUGCAAUAAUUUCACUCCUCCUUCUACAAAUGUGUCAUGACUUGAGGGAGGUACAUAAUGACAUUAACAAUAGUUCCUGGUUUCUUACUCCUGGAAUGGACUACUUCUGAAAGGAAGACUGCCCACAGUGUUUACAAGCUACCUUGCUCCUGAUAUGCCUUUCUUUUUAGAAGAGGUGUAUGUUUAGGUGGACCUGAAAUUAUGAGAAAGCAAUGCAUCCCUCAGCAAGCAGAAGCAGAAGUAAAGCCCAUACUUAUGGUAUAAAUUAGGAAGCAAAUAAGACCUGCAGUUCUUCAGUGAAAGCAUGGAAUGUGCUAUGAAUCAGGGUAACACCUGAGACAGAAGAUGAGCAGUGAUUCCCUAAGGAAAAAGCAGGAUUUCUGUUUUCUCCUGGAAUGGGACUCUGAUAUGGGACCAACUACAAAUUUGUGGCAAGUGUGGCUAUGGUCUUGCUGGGUGGAACUGGUAAAAGGUGAAAGGCAGGAACCUGUAAUUUCAGAGUAACAGUGAAAAUCCUGUGAUAAGCAGGAUUAAAACUGGCUUCCAGCUGCCUGACUAACAUGAGGCCCUUGGAAGAGACCAUCAGGGAGUUUCCCAGCAGUGACUGUGGAAAACUGAGAUUUGAUCAAGACUCUGGAAAAAAAGCUUGGAUCCACACUCAGUAUCUGAUGACACAUUAAGUCCCUUCUACUGAAAGACAAAGAUCACAUGAACUGUAAAGGAAAUGUUGGUAUCUGGAGAUGGUGUAAUUUUGGUUGCUGGAACAAACAUUUGUUUGGAUUUCUCUUCGUGGGGAAUGAUGUAGUUCUCAUCCCUAUGUUUGAAGACUCACUUCAGUUUUCUUCGCCACAGGAAGAACAAUGGUAAAGACAAUUCAGUGCAUGGAGAUGAAGAAAGGAAUUUCUCUAAGAAACAGUUUUAAUUGUUAUGGUAGUCUGUUAAUCACUUAAUUUGAUUUUUAGGGUUAAACCUCUCUUUAAAGGAUUGUAAAACAUGCAGUCACCACACAAACUUGUGCCACUGUGGUUUAGCUAGUAACUGUGUUACUGCUGAGAAGAAAAAUCUAAGAAAUACAUUCAAGAUUUUUAAAGUUUUUUACAUAGAAGGAAAUUUUUAGGGUUUCACAUAUGCCUUGAACUCUUCUUCUACUGAAUAUUGCUAGACACCUUUCUUUGACAAAUUUUUAGAGAUGACAAGGUUUAGUACAAGGCUGAAUGUUGUCAGAUGAACCCCUGUAGACUUGCUGACUUGCAGCUGAACACUAAUGCUCUUUUACUACAGCUUUUUGUUCUGAGAAUCCUUUUUCAUUAGACUGCUUGAGAAAUUCUCAAAUAAAAAAGUGCCUACAAUACAACAUAUAAACCUGAAAUCUCAACUUAAGCAAUUGGAGUAUAUAAUAGUAAAAAUUGUCCUUUAAAAUAGGAAGUGGAAGUUUCAACCUUUAGAAAGGUCUUUGCUGAGAGUAUCAGGUGGAAAGUCAAGUGGAAUCUGCUCAUCAGGGUAGUUGGAUCAAUGUCUUCUGGAUUAGUCUUAUUU